This 253-nucleotide ribosomal RNA is filed under the name uncultured bacterium. RNAcentral's name for it is "partial 16S ribosomal RNA". It matches the Rfam family "Bacterial small subunit ribosomal RNA", at positions 524 to 776 of the family's 1533-position model. The record is from RNAcentral.
UACAGAGGUCUCAAGCGUUGUUCGGAUUCAUUGGGCGUAAAGGGUGCGUAGGCGGCGCGGUAAGUCGGGUGUGAAAUCUCGGGGCUUAACUCCGAAACUGCAUUCGAUACUGCUGUGCUUGAGGACUGGAGAGGAGACUGGAAUUUACGGUGUAGCGGUGAAAUGCGUAGAUAUCGUAAGGAAGACCAGUGGCGAAGGCGAGUCUCUGGACAGUUCCUGACGCUGAGGCACGAAGGUCAGGGGAGCAAACGGG